CGUAGGUGGCAAGCGUUAUCCGGAAUUAUUGGGCGUAAAGCGCGCGCAGGCGGUCUCUUAAGUCUGAUGUGAAGCCCACGGCUCAACCGUGGAGGUCAUUGGAACUGGGAGACUUGAGUGCAGGAGAGAAAGUGGAAUUCCACGUGUAGCGGUGAAAUGCGUAGAGAUGUGGAGGAACACCAGUGGCGAAGGCGGCUUUUGGCCUGUAACUGACGCUGAGGCGCGAAAGCGUGGGAGCAAACAGGAUU
RNAcentral lists this ribosomal RNA (248 nucleotides) under uncultured bacterium. RNAcentral's name for it is "partial 16S ribosomal RNA". It matches the Rfam family "Bacterial small subunit ribosomal RNA", at positions 526 to 779 of the family's 1533-position model. The record is from RNAcentral.